This is a long non-coding RNA of Capsicum annuum, 806 nucleotides long. RefSeq lists it as uncharacterized. Lineage: Eukaryota; Viridiplantae; Streptophyta; Magnoliopsida; Solanales; Solanaceae. The record is from RefSeq and is a predicted model, not a curated record. The transcript is spliced from 2 exons.
CACAAACAUCAUUAAAAUCUCACACUACAGAAUCAGAAUUCUCUCUAUUCCAUCCAAGAAAUAUAAGGAGGAAAAUCGGAAAAAAAGGAACAUAUAUAUACACCAUGCAAGAAGCUAAAACUAUAGUAACUAUCACCUCAACAACAAUAUUGUUCUUGUUCGUGAUCACUAUAAAUAUUUCAAAUGUUGCAGCAAGAUUACCAGAUGAAAAAAUUAUUGUUAUAACCAACAACCACACAAAUUACCUUAGCGUUCGUUGCUUCUCCUUUGAUAAUGAUGGUGAUGACGUUAAACAUCUCCAUGCCAUGGACAGUUUCAACAUUACUGUCAAAAUAAGAAAAUUCUUCUCCACUUCAACAAUGUACAAUUGUUCCACGAACAUGGGAACAUUCAUCGCAUUUAAAUACAACUAUGGGUGUGCUACCCAUUCAGGGCCUUGUGAGUGGAGGUUUGAUGAGAACUUCACGUAUCACUAUAGUCCCAAGAGGAAACAAUGGGUUGUAUACGAAUAUUAUCCAAAUUAUGAAUCUCUUACUAGAGGAGGAGUUAUCAAAGGGUACUACGUUAACUAAAAUGGAACGAUAUACAUUUGACAACACUGAAGAUUUAGAUAAUACAAGACUAUCAGAUACUUUGUCAAACAAAAAAAAAAGUAUAGAAUGUAAUUUAGAUAAUAAAUAGAAUGUUUAGUGUGACAUGUUAGAAAUACAGGUGACAAAAUAGUCUUGUUAAUUAUGCAUUUACAGCUUUGGUCCCUUACAGUUUGUAAGAAGAAGACACUUUUAGUCUUCAUCAAAUUUUUACCA